RNAcentral lists this ribosomal RNA (450 nucleotides) under uncultured bacterium. Its description in RNAcentral is "bacterial SSU rRNA". It matches the Rfam family "Bacterial small subunit ribosomal RNA", at positions 95 to 563 of the family's 1533-position model. The record is from RNAcentral.
GUGGCGGACGGGUGAGUAACGCGUGGGUAACCUGCCUUGUACUGGGGGACAACAGUUGGAAACGACUGCUAAUACCGCAUAAGCGCACAGCUUCGCAUGAAGCAGUGUGAAAAACUCCGGUGGUACAAGAUGGACCCGCGUCUGAUUAGCUGGUUGGUGAGGUAACGGCCCACCAAGGCGACGAUCAGUAGCCGGCCUGAGAGGGUGAACGGCCACAUUGGGACUGAGACACGGCCCAAACUCCUACGGGAGGCAGCAGUGGGGAAUAUUGCACAAUGGGGGAAACCCUGAUGCAGCAACGCCGCGUGAGUGAAGAAGUAUUUCGGUAUGUAAAGCUCUAUCAGCAGGAAAGAAAAUGACGGUACCUGACUAAGAAGCCCCGGCUAACUACGUGCCAGCAGCCGCGGUAAUACGUAGGGGGCAAGCGUUAUCCGGAUUUACUGGGUGUAA